GACGAACGCUGGCGGCGUGCCUAAUACAUGCAAGUCGAACGCUUCUUUCCUCCCGAGUGCUUGCACUCAAUUGGAAAGAGGAGUGGCGGACGGGUGAGUAACACGUGGGUAACCUACCCAUCAGAGGGGGAUGACACUUGGAAACAGGUGCUAAUACCGCAUAACAGUUUAUGCCGCAUGGCAUAAGAGUGAAAGGCGCUUUCGGGUGUCGCUAAUGGAUGGACCCGCGGUGCAUUAGCUAGUUGGUGAGGUAACGGCUCACCAAGGCCACGAUGCAUAGCCGACCUGAGAGGGUGAUGGGCCACACUGGGACUGAGACACGGCCCAGACUCCUACGGGAGGCAGCAGUAGGGAAUCUUCGGCAAUGGACGAAAGUCUGACCGAGCAACGCCGCGUGAGUGAAGAAGGUUUUCGGAUCGUAAAACUCUGUUGUUAGAGAAGAACAAGGACGUUAGUAACUGAACGUCCCCUGACGGUAUCUAACCAGAAAGCCACGGCUAACUACGUG
Molecule: ribosomal RNA, 508 nt
Filed under: uncultured bacterium
Lineage: Bacteria
Description: partial 16S ribosomal RNA
Rfam family: Bacterial small subunit ribosomal RNA
Source: RNAcentral